Molecule: ribosomal RNA, 301 nt
Filed under: uncultured bacterium
Lineage: Bacteria
Description: partial 16S ribosomal RNA
Rfam family: Bacterial small subunit ribosomal RNA
Source: RNAcentral
CAGCCGCCGCGGUAAUACAGAUGGUGCGAGCGUUAAUCGGAUUUACUGGGCGUAAAGCGUGCGUAGGCGGCUUCUUAAGUCGGAUGUGAAAUCCCUGAGCUUAACUUAGGAAUUGCAUUCGAUACUGGGAAGCUAGAGUAUGGGAGAGGAUGGUAGAAUUCCAGGUGUAGCGGUGAAAUGCGUAGAGAUCUGGAGGAAUACCGAUGGCGAAGGCAGCCAUCUGGCCUAAUACUGACGCUGAGGUACGAAAGCAUGGGGAGCAAACAGGAUUAGAUACCCCGGUAGUCCCUGUCUCUUAUAC